This 244-nucleotide ribosomal RNA is filed under the name uncultured fungus. RNAcentral describes it as "partial small subunit ribosomal RNA". It matches the Rfam family "Eukaryotic small subunit ribosomal RNA", at positions 1326 to 1591 of the family's 1831-position model. The record is from RNAcentral. Lineage: Eukaryota; Fungi.
CGAUAACGAACGAGACCUUAACCUGCUAAAUAGCCAGGCUUGCUCUUGCAGGUCGCCGGCUUCUUAGAGGGACUAUCGGCUCAAGCCGAUGGAAGUUUGAGGCAAUAACAGGUCUGUGAUGCCCUUAGAUGUUCUGGGCCGCACGCGCGCUACACUGACAGAGCCAACGAGUUCAUCACCUUGGCCGGAAGGUCUGGGUAAUCUUGUUAAACUCUGUCGUGCUUGGGGAUAGGGCAUUGCAAUG